GAAUUUUGGGCGUAAAGCGCGCGUAGGCGGUUUUUUAAGUCUGAUGUGAAAGCCCACGGCUCAACCGUGGAGGGUCAUUGAAACUGGAAAACUGAGUGCAGAAAGGAAAUGGUUCCAUGUAGCGGUGAAAUGCGCAGAGAUAUGGAGGAACAAGUGGCGAAGGCGACUUUCUGGUCUGUAACUGACGCUGAUGUGCAAAGCGUGGGGAUAAACAGGAUUAGAUACCCGGUAGUCCGCCGU
This 240-nucleotide ribosomal RNA is filed under the name uncultured bacterium. Its description in RNAcentral is "partial 16S ribosomal RNA". It matches the Rfam family "Bacterial small subunit ribosomal RNA", at positions 554 to 803 of the family's 1533-position model. The record is from RNAcentral.